Paramuricea clavata is the source of this 423-nucleotide non-coding RNA. The record is from the annotation of a GenBank genome assembly. NCBI's taxonomy places the organism in Eukaryota, Metazoa, Cnidaria, Anthozoa, Malacalcyonacea, Plexauridae.
ACAAAAUUCAAGGGGGGGAGUGCCUCGCAUGGGCCUUGAGUCCAGUUCGCACUCUUGCCAUUUGAACAUCGUUCAAUAAAGCUGUUAAAAUAAAAAAAUGAAAAAUAAAAAUGAAUAAAAUAAGGAAUGAUUUCUCAGCCCAGGCAUAUAUAGCACAUGUUGAUUGACUGAAGCACAUGUUGAUUUAUACUGCCGUGCUUUACAUGAGCCGUACCAAAUGCGUAAAUUAUGAUAAUGAAAUAUUUUAUUAUUUCUAUUGUUUUCGUGCCCGCGCGCGGGAAAAUUAGCACCACGCAUUACACGCGUUUCCAAAUUUUGACAACAUGGCUGCUUCUGUCGGAUGUAAAAGAGAAACAAAGUAUGAAUGUGAUGCUUGUAAUGUUACUGGAGUAACAUCACAAGCGUGUAACGAGUAAUAUCACA